RNAcentral lists this long non-coding RNA (606 nucleotides) under Nicotiana benthamiana. Its description in RNAcentral is "long non-coding RNA (NBEN_LNC013595)". Lineage: Eukaryota; Viridiplantae; Streptophyta; Magnoliopsida; Solanales; Solanaceae. The record is from RNAcentral.
UAAAGUCGCCGGAAAAAACUCAAAGUUGUCGGAAUCGAACGAAAAAAGGAUGGGUAAGGUCGUAAUUGAAGGGGGAGCAAACUGUCCUGAAGGAGUCACCGGAAAAAAUGGCCGGAAGUGGUGCCACGCGCCGGCGUGUGGGCUCACGCGCCGAAGGUGUUGGCGGCGCGUGGGGGCGCGUGAUGAGCAGACUGUCCUGAAGAAAUUCUGGCCGGAAAGUACUGUAGCUGCUGGAAAGUCAAUAAAGUCGCCGGAAAAAACUCAAAGUUGUCGGAAUCGAACGAAAAAAGGAUGGGUAAGGUCGGAAUUGAAGGGCGAGCAAACUGUCCUGAAGGAGUCACCAAAAAAAAAUGGCCGGAAGUGGUGCCACGCGCCGGCGCGUGGGCUCACGCGCCGAAGGUGUUGGCGGCGCGUGGGGGCGCGUGUGUGGUUCUUUUCCGGUGAUUUUUUCUGGGGUUGGUCGGAAUUCUCUUCCGAACCUCGUGGUGGUCUCGGAUUUUUCACAACACCAACAAAAAAGGUGGUUUAGUUACGGACAGCCUCUUAAGUCGCCGGAAAAUUGCACGGCGACGAGGUCUUUCUUCCCGGAAGUAGCUGGAAUGACGC